This is a non-coding RNA of Pelobates cultripes (western spadefoot toad), 1486 nucleotides long. Lineage: Eukaryota; Metazoa; Chordata; Amphibia; Anura; Pelobatidae. The record is from the annotation of a GenBank genome assembly.
UCACUUCAAAUAUUCCGUUUUAUUGCACAUUAAGUUUUUAAGAAUGCAUGACAAAUUACUGGGAAGAUUACAAUAUUUGUACCACAUAAAAUUUCUUUUAUAAACAAAAAUAUUUGUAGGAAGCGGGCACGUCACAUACUGAGCUCCUUCUUAUAAAUCCUCUAAAAUUGAAAGCGGUAACUAUAGCGGAUAAAUCGAACGUUUGACAUUCCCAAAACCUAAAGAAUAUUUUAAUAGAAUUCCGUUACAUGCAUUGUACAUACAAUAAGAAUAGGAUAGGAAUCUGUAUCCCUCUAUAAUAGUCCCAACUCUUUUUUAAAUGUAAAAGUUAUACCUACAGGACAGAUCAAAGAAAUCAGGCUACAUUAAUUCAAUAUACAUUUCAUGCAUAAUGUCUUACUCAAAGCACUUUAAUCAAAAUGGGUUGAAUCGGGAUCAGUAAGAGUAAGCGAUAGCUAUAAACACGGAAGUUGACAGAAUUGCUGCGAAUUUAAGUCUGUCAGUGGACAAAUCAAGAUCAUAUGGUAAAGCUGUGCCCUUCACAUUACUUAAACAAUUAGCAGGUUUGGGCAUGGAUCAUGAUAUAUAGCAGUGAUGACAAUGGACAGUCUUGGUACUCCAUUUGUAUUACCUGCAAUGCUUUGCCAUUGCUGUAUUGAGAACUUUUUUUUUUUUUUUUUUUUCAUUUUCAUUUUUUUUUUUGUGUAAACUAAUAAUUAGAAGAGCACUAAUUUUACUAAGCCAUUAACUACCCCAUUGGAUUAAUGGUAUCAAUGUCACAGUGAACAUUUAUGCAAAGCUAGCCCCAGACACAAGGAAAAAAAAACACACCUAUAAAAAUAAAUGUUUUGUUGCAUAAAUAGUGAAGGGGCAUGGGGGGCGGAGCCUGGCUGGGGAGCUGAUCAGACGCGUGCAGCAAGAGCUCUCGUCUGAAAUCCUGUUUUACUCGAAAUAACCCCAGUUCUCAUGCUGCAAAAGUGUUUGAAUUUGCAUCACCCAGGUAGGGGCUGCAAAGGAGAACAUACAGAAGUUACUCCUGAAACUCUAAGCCGCCAGGAAGGCGGGCUGCAUUGAUGGGGCCUACCGCAGUGACGAAUAGCCUGAAUAGCGGCCUGGAAGGUGGUGAGGGCAUGGGUGAGGCGGCCGAUCGCCCGGCCCGGAACCCCCUGAAAGCAAACUCAGACACUGCGGAGGUCCACCCACGAGCCUUCUCCCUCCCCCCCCUGCCGGUGGGGGAUAUCCCGGCACCAGCAGUAUACCCACCGCUGACACUCACGUCCCAAAGACUGCGAACACCACGAGUCCCUAACUCUAAAAUGGCGGAUACCACACGCCAGUCAGCAAACUUGGAGACAAACGGAAAACCGCCAAACUACACCCUGACUAAGCUAGAUGCAAUUUUUGCUGCCUUUUGGACCAGGAUUGCGGAGAGGGCAUUGAACACGGCUAAAGCCAAUCGUACCACUCUUGCACCCACACCACCCGC